CCUACGGGUGGCUGCAGUGAGGAAUAUUGGUCAAUGGACGAGAGUCUGCACCAGCCAAGUAGCGUGAAGGAUGACUGCCCUAUGGGUUGUAAACUUCUUUUAUAUGGGAAUAAAACGUUCCACGUGUGGGAUUUUGUAUGUACCAUAUGAAUUAGGAUCGGCUAACUCCGUGCCAGCAGCCGCGGUAAUACGGAGGAUCCGAGCGUUAUCAGGAUUUAUUGGGUUUAAAGGGAGCGUAGAUGGAAUAUCAAGUCAGCGGUAAAAAUUCGGGGCACAACCCCGUCGUGCCGUUGAAACUGAUGUUUGUGAGUGGGCGAGAAGUAUGCGGAAUGCGUGGUGUAGCGGUGAAAUGCAUAGAUAUCACGCAGAACUCCGAUUGCGAAGGCAGCAUACCGGCGCCCAACUGACGCUGAAGCACGAAAGCGUGGGUAUCGAACAGGAUUAGAUACCCGUGUAGUC
Molecule: ribosomal RNA, 459 nt
Filed under: uncultured bacterium
Lineage: Bacteria
Description: partial 16S ribosomal RNA
Rfam family: Bacterial small subunit ribosomal RNA
Source: RNAcentral